Molecule: ribosomal RNA, 301 nt
Filed under: uncultured cyanobacterium
Lineage: Bacteria; Bacillati; Cyanobacteriota
Description: partial 16S ribosomal RNA
Source: RNAcentral
GGAGUAUGGGCCGUGUCUCAGUCCCAUUGUGGCUGAUCAUCCUCUCAAACCAGCUACUGAUCGUCGCCUUGGUGGUCCAUUACACCCCCAACUAGCUAAUCAGAUGCAGACUCAUCUCCAAGCACCGGAGUUUUCAAGAAUAACAUUUCAGUUACGCUCAUAUGGGGUAUUAAUAGUCGUUUCCAACUGCUAUCCCCCGCUUGAAGGCAGAUUCUCUACAUAUUACUCACCCGUCCGCCACUUUCCACUUACCGAAGUAAGUUUCUCGUUCGACUUGCAUGUAUGAAGCACGCCGCCAGCG